UAGUUUAAGCAAUUAGUGGUUUUUGUUUAUUUUGUUAAUGGGUUGAUUUUUGAGUAAGAGAAAAGAUGCCUCUUCUUUCAGCAGCAAGAUCCAUACUUGUUAGCUUUGUUCUGGAGGCACAUAU
This is a non-coding RNA of Arabidopsis thaliana x Arabidopsis arenosa, 124 nucleotides long. The record is from the annotation of a GenBank genome assembly. NCBI's taxonomy places the organism in Eukaryota, Viridiplantae, Streptophyta, Magnoliopsida, Brassicales, Brassicaceae.